CCUACGGGAGGUAGCAGUGGGGAAUAUUGCACAAUGGGGGGAACGCUGAUGCAGCGACGCCGCGUGGGGGAGGAAGUACUUCGGCAUGUAAAGCCCUAUCAGCAGGGAAGAAAAUGACGGUACCUGACUAAGAAGCACCGUCUAACUACGUGCCAGCAGCCGCGGGAAUACGUAGGGGGCAAGCAUUAUCCGGAUUCACUGGGCGUAAAGGGAGCGUAGACGGCGUGCCAAGUCUGGUGUGAAAGGCUCGGGCUUCACCCCGGGACUGCAUUGGAAACUGGCAUGCUGGAGUGCCGGAGGGGCAAGCGGAAUUCGUAGUGUAGCGGUGAAAUGCGUAGAUAUUAGGAGGAACACCGGUGGCGAAGGCGGCUUGCUGGACGGUAACUGACGUUGAGGCUCGAAAGCGUGGGGAGCAAACAGGAUUAGAUACCCUAGUAGUC
RNAcentral lists this ribosomal RNA (440 nucleotides) under uncultured bacterium. Its description in RNAcentral is "partial 16S ribosomal RNA". It matches the Rfam family "Bacterial small subunit ribosomal RNA", at positions 338 to 795 of the family's 1533-position model. The record is from RNAcentral.